This 198-nucleotide non-coding RNA is filed under the name Clostridium algidicarnis. RNAcentral's name for it is "6S RNA". It matches the Rfam family "6S / SsrS RNA". Rfam says of the family: E. coli 6S RNA was the first non coding RNA to be sequenced, but its function was unknown until recently. It consists of 184 nucleotides that fold into an extended hairpin structure with a large single-stranded internal bulge. RNAcentral also lists the same sequence under 1 other name. Lineage: Bacteria; Bacillati; Bacillota; Clostridia; Eubacteriales; Clostridiaceae. The record is from RNAcentral.
AUCAAUCUGAGGUAUUUGUGAAGCUCUUAUUUUGAACCUACAUCAUUAAAACGGGAGUUUAAAAUAUAAUUGUGAAUUUGACUUAUAAGUCCUAAUGUAUGACAUUCACCUAGGCAAGGUUUUUGAAACAAUAUUGAGGACACCCACCUAUCGGAUAGAUAGGUGUCAAAAUUAGGGCAACGGUAUUUCGGAUUAUAA